AGUGAACGCUGGCGGUAGGCCUAACACAUGCAAGUCGAACGGCAGCACAGUAAGAGCUUGCUCUUACGGGUGGCGAGUGGCGGACGGGUGAGGAAUACAUCGGAAUCUACUUUUUCGUGGGGGAUAACGUAGGGAAACUUACGCUAAUACCGCAUACGACCUACGGGUGAAAGCAGGGGAUCUUCGGACCUUGCGCGAUUGAAUGAGCCGAUGUCGGAUUAGCUAGUUGGCGGGGUAAAGGCCCACCAAGGCGACGAUCCGUAGCUGGUCUGAGAGGAUGAUCAGCAACACUGGAACUGAGACAAGGUCCAGACUCCUACGGGAGGCAGCAGUGGGGAAUAUUGGACAAUGGGCGCAAGCCUGAUCCAGCCAUACCGCGUGGGUGAAGAAGGCCUUCGGGUUGUAAAGCCCUUUUGUUGGGAAAGAAAAGCAGCAGGUUAAUACCCCGCUGUUCUGACGGUACCCAAAGAAUAAGCACCGGCUAACUUCGUG
This 492-nucleotide ribosomal RNA is filed under the name uncultured bacterium. RNAcentral describes it as "partial 16S ribosomal RNA". It matches the Rfam family "Bacterial small subunit ribosomal RNA", at positions 29 to 507 of the family's 1533-position model. The record is from RNAcentral.